GGAACGAACGCUGGCGGCACGCCUAAUACAUGCAAGUCGAACAAACUCUUCGGAGUUAGUGGCGCACGGGUGCGUAACGCGUGGGAAUCUGCCCCUUGGUUCGGAAUAACAGUUGGAAACGACUGCUAAUACCGGAUGAUGACGAAAGUCCAAAGAUUUAUCGCCAAGGGAUGAGCCCGCGUAGGAUUAGCUAGUUGUGAGGUAAAGGCUCACCAAGGCAACGAUCCUUAGCUGGUCUGAGAGGAUGAUCAGCCACACUGGACUGAGAC
Molecule: ribosomal RNA, 269 nt
Filed under: uncultured soil bacterium
Lineage: Bacteria
Description: partial 16S ribosomal RNA
Rfam family: Bacterial small subunit ribosomal RNA
Source: RNAcentral